This 593-nucleotide long non-coding RNA is filed under the name Chloebia gouldiae (Gouldian finch). Its description in RNAcentral is "Erythrura gouldiae (Gouldian finch) lncRNA (ENSEGOG00005002064.1)". The record is from RNAcentral. Lineage: Eukaryota; Metazoa; Chordata; Aves; Passeriformes; Passeridae.
CGUGGAGAGGCAGACAGUGCCCAAGCAGGUGUCAUUCCAGUCAACUUUGCAUCUCUGAUGUUUCAUAGUGUCUGAACACUGAGUGUUGAGAUGCACCUCCACCCCUGGAACUGCAUCAAGGCCCAGAGAAGGCAGCUGAAUUGAGAAGAGCCAGGAAACAUGGAGCCAGCUACUUAGAAGAGGCAGCAGAAUUGUGAACUCUGCUCGAUGUGGGACUCUGCACAAUUAUCUUAGAUUGCAAAGGUGUAUUAUGAGAGCCCUAGGCUUCAGGCUUAGCUCUCUACAAGCAAAUGUCUAACUCUGUUUGGAGUCUCUCAAUUUCAAAACUCUGUCCAGACCCUUGGGCCACCAUACACAAACCUGCUUGUAGAGGAAAGCAGACAAAAGCUUCAAGGGGAAGGGAGUGUUGGACUUGAUGAAGGAAAACAGCAGCUAGUGUAAGUCGGUAUAUUAAUUUCACAUAGUUUAAUACAAGAAGUUAAUGUUUUGGAGAAAACGGGUAACUUUUGGUCACUGUACAGAGGGUACUGAAAUUAAAGAACUGUAGGCACAAAAGUCAUUGUGACUUACAGAGUAGAAGUAUUCGAUGUUUU